Molecule: unclassified non-coding RNA, 380 nt
Filed under: uncultured Alphaproteobacteria bacterium
Lineage: Bacteria; Pseudomonadati; Pseudomonadota; Alphaproteobacteria
Description: contains 16S-23S intergenic spacer region
Source: RNAcentral
UCCGGUUUGUCACCGGCAGUCCCCUUAGAGUGCCCAACUGAAUGCUGGCAACUAAGGGCGAGGGUUGCGCUCGUUGCGGGACUUAACCCAACAUCUCACGACACGAGCUGACGACAGCCAUGCAGCACCUGUGUUCCCGCCAGCCGAACUGAAGGAUUCCAUCUCUGGAACCCAUACGGGACAUGUCAAGGGUCGGUAAGGUUCUGCGCGUUGCUUCGAAUUGAACCACAUGCUCCACCGCUUGUGCGGGCCCCCGUCAAUUUCUUUGAGUUUUAACCUUGCGGCCGUACUCCCCAGGCGGAUGACUUAAUGCGUUAGCUGCGCCACCGAAAGCCCAUGGCCCCCGACAGCUAGUCAUCAUCGUUUACGGCGUGGACUAC